AUGGCCAUGGCCACCGUGAGGGAGCACGUCCUGCUCAGCCAGCCCGGCAAGCAGGUCCUGCUCGCCGAGAUCCCGGCGUCAGCCUCGCGCGACUCGCAGCCGGCGGUCACGCUCCGGCUGCUCGUUGAGCAGUGCAGCGACUACGGUGCCGGCCCCGCGGACGUCGACACGGUGGAGGACGUGGCCUGCCGCGUGCCGCUCGCCGACCUGGUUCGCCAGGGGGCGGCGGAGCGGGCGUUCAAGGAGCUGGUGGCCCGGAUCGACAACCCGGCGCUGCGCCCGGAGGUCGCGGCGGAGACCGCGGCGGCCGCGGUGCGCGUCCGGGCGAGGUGCGGGGCCGACGACCGCGACGGGCUCCGCGGCGUGGAGUUCCGCCUCCGCGUCACGUUCAUCGACGACGCGUCCAGGGAAGAGGAGGAGGCGGACCACGACGACGACGAGUGCGGGAGCGACAUGGAGUUCGGGGAGUUCGAUCUGAGCGGCGCGCGGAGCCUGCGCGGCCAGCAGACCGACGCCAGCUACGACUACGAGGAGGAGGACGACGACGAGGACGGCUGCGGCGCCCAGUUCACGGUGCGCCCCUACCGCGGCGCCCUCGCGCGAGGGGCGCCGUCGUCCAUGCUGCUGUCUGGCUUCGAGGCGCGCUCCGACGGGCCCGAGCUCACGGAGGAGCACGAGGUGACGUCGUACGACAUACAGCGCGUCGUGCGCAAGGCGCUGGGCGGCGGCGGGAGCGUGGAGGACGACGAGGCAUACCUGCGCGCGCUGGACGGCGGCACGCCCGUGUCGCCGGCGUCGCGCGCCGCCAUGGUCGGCCAGGCGCUGCAGUCCGCGAGGCAGCAGCAGCAGCAGCAGCGGUCGAAGUCGCCACGCCCAAUCUUCCCGAUGCGUACCGGAUUCUGA
This 903-nucleotide ribosomal RNA is filed under the name Triticum aestivum (bread wheat). RNAcentral describes it as "partial small subunit ribosomal RNA". Lineage: Eukaryota; Viridiplantae; Streptophyta; Magnoliopsida; Poales; Poaceae. The record is from RNAcentral.